RNAcentral lists this ribosomal RNA (253 nucleotides) under uncultured bacterium. RNAcentral's name for it is "partial 16S ribosomal RNA". It matches the Rfam family "Bacterial small subunit ribosomal RNA", at positions 524 to 776 of the family's 1533-position model. The record is from RNAcentral.
GACGAACUGUCCUAACGUUGUUCGGAAUCACUGGGCUUAAAGGGCGCGUAGGCGGUCCACCAAGUCAGGGGUGAAAUCCUGCAGCUCAACUGCAGAAGUGCCUUUGAUACUGGUGGUCUGGAGGGAGAUAGGGGUGUGUGGAACUCACAGUGGAGCGGUGAAAUGCGUUGAUAUUGUGAGGAACGCCGGAGGCGAAAGCGACGCACUGGAUCUCUUCUGACGCUGAGGCGCGAAAGCUAGGGGAGCAAACGGG